CAGCAGCAGCCGCGGUAAUACGAAGGGUGCAAGCGUUAAUCGGAAUUACUGGGCGUAAAGCGUGCGUAGGCGGUGAGUUAAGUCUGCUGUGAAAUCCCCGGGCUCAACCUGGGAAUGGCAGUGGAUACUGGCUCGCUAGAGUGUGUCAGAGGAUGGUGGAAUUCCCGGUGUAGCGGUGAAAUGCGUAGAGAUCGGGAGGAACAUCAGUGGCGAAGGCGGUCAUCUGGGACAACACUGACGCUGAGGCACGAAAGCGUGGGGAGCAAACAGGAUUAGAUACCCGGGUAGUCCCUGUCUCUUAUAC
This 304-nucleotide ribosomal RNA is filed under the name uncultured bacterium. RNAcentral's name for it is "partial 16S ribosomal RNA". It matches the Rfam family "Bacterial small subunit ribosomal RNA", at positions 506 to 807 of the family's 1533-position model. The record is from RNAcentral.